AACGCUCCCUCAUGGGCAGCCACCUCUCGAUGUCGGGGGUCGCUUUGGGGUCGCAGUUCUUGGGCAGUUUGCCUAAAAAGAAGAUGAGGAGGAAUCACUGAAGGAGCUCAGCUCAGCAUAAUAAAUGAGACUGAUCUGUAGUCAAAAAAUCCAGACGCAUUAGCAUAGAGGAGAUGAAAGUGUUGCCACCUACACUCAUCCUUCCCACAAGCAACAAUAUUCUGGACACCAUAGAGCCGAUGUGGAAGACAGCGACGAGAGCUUACCCUUGUUCUUUGGGAAGAUUUUCUCCUGUGACCUUAGCGGCUUUUUUCCUGACAUAGGUCGCUCCGUGGGAGUUCUCCAGCUCAUCCACGUCCACGUUGAAGGCCAUCGUGUCUGCCGAUGGUAGGUGUUUGCUGAGGCUGGAGAGGAACGCUAAGGACAUGUUUCCCAUUGGCAUUUCAAAUGUACCUUCUUUCAAAACAUCAUAAGGUCAUCCAGGAGUCCUUGUCUUGCUCUUCUGAUUAUUGGCUUUUGCAUUAGUAUUAUUGAUGGAUAUACAAUGUUUUACAAGAGUCUGUAUGAAAAUUUAAAUUAAUGAUAUAUGUUCUAAGCUAUUGACAUCAUACUAGGCAACCCUGGAUUAGAUUCUGGAUCAACGUCUAUGGUGUGGUCUUCUAGGGCUGUUUUCACAAUAAAGCAACUAAUCAUUUUGUUUAUAAAA
This is a long non-coding RNA of Dicentrarchus labrax (European seabass), 706 nucleotides long. RefSeq lists it as uncharacterized. Lineage: Eukaryota; Metazoa; Chordata; Actinopteri; Moronidae. The transcript is spliced from 2 exons. The record is from RefSeq and is a predicted model, not a curated record.